This 301-nucleotide ribosomal RNA is filed under the name Odhneripisidium moitessierianum. RNAcentral describes it as "Pisidium moitesserianum partial 16S ribosomal RNA". It matches the Rfam family "Bacterial large subunit ribosomal RNA", at positions 2079 to 2601 of the family's 2925-position model. Lineage: Eukaryota; Metazoa; Mollusca; Bivalvia; Venerida; Sphaeriidae. The record is from RNAcentral.
UUGAGUKAAAAAGCUUGGAUGAUUUUAAAAGACGAGAAGACCCUAUCGAGCUUGAAUUGGGUGUCUUAGUUUUGAGAUUUCUAAAGUUUAGUUGGGGAAACUUAAAGUAAAAAAAAACGCUUUAUUUUUUUAGGGCGAUCCUGUAGUAUGGAAGAACGAAAAAGUUACCGUAGGGAUAACAGCGCUUUCUUCUCUGAGAGGACUAAUUAAAGAGUUGGUUGCGACCUCGAUGUUGGAUUAAAAUUUCUUUUUGGGGUAGGGGUUAAAAUAGUAAGACUGUUCGUCUUUUAAAAUUUUACAU